RNAcentral lists this transfer RNA (72 nucleotides) under Camelus bactrianus (Bactrian camel). It matches the Rfam family "tRNA". Rfam says of the family: Transfer RNA (tRNA) molecules are approximately 80 nucleotides in length. Their secondary structure includes four short double-helical elements and three loops (D, anti-codon, and T loops). Further hydrogen bonds mediate the characteristic L-shaped molecular structure. tRNAs have two regions of fundamental functional importance: the anti-codon, which is responsible for specific mRNA codon recognition, and the 3' end, to which the tRNAs corresponding amino acid is attached (by aminoacyl-tRNA synthetases). tRNAs cope with the degeneracy of the genetic code in two manners: having more than one tRNA (with a specific anti-codon) for a particular amino acid; and 'wobble' base-pairing, i.e. permitting non-standard base-pairing at the 3rd anti-codon position. RNAcentral also lists the same sequence under 2 other names. The record is from Rfam by way of RNAcentral. Lineage: Eukaryota; Metazoa; Chordata; Mammalia; Artiodactyla; Camelidae.
GGAGGUUUAGCUCAGUGGUAGAGUGUGUGCUUAGCAUGCAUGAGGUCCUGGGUUCAAUCCCCAGUACCUCCA